Molecule: ribosomal RNA, 492 nt
Filed under: uncultured bacterium
Lineage: Bacteria
Description: partial 16S ribosomal RNA
Rfam family: Bacterial small subunit ribosomal RNA
Source: RNAcentral
AGUGAACGCUGGCGGUAGGCCUAACACAUGCAAGUCGAACGGCAGCACAGUAAGAGCUUGCUCUUACGGGUGGCGAGUGGCGGACGGGUGAGGAAUACAUCGGAAUCUACUUUUUCGUGGGGGAUAACGUAGGGAAACUUACGCUAAUACCGCAUACGACCUACGGGUGAAAGCAGGGGAUCUUCGGAUCUUGCGCGAUUGAAUGAGCCGAUGUCGGAUUAGCUAGUUGGCGGGGUAAAGGCCCACCAAGGCGACGAUCCGUAGCUGGUCUGAGAGGAUGAUCAGCCACACUGGAACUGAGACACGGUCCAGACUCCUACGGGAGGCAGCAGUGGGGAAUAUUGAACAAUGGGCGCAAGCCUGAUCCAGCCAUACCGCGUGGGUGAAGAAGGCCUUCGGGUUGUAAAGCCCUUUUGUUGGGAAAGAAAAGCAGUAGGUUAAUACCCCGCUGUUCUGACGGUACCCAAAGAAUAAGCACCGGCUAACUUCGUG